This 407-nucleotide ribosomal RNA is filed under the name uncultured bacterium. RNAcentral describes it as "partial 16S ribosomal RNA". It matches the Rfam family "Bacterial small subunit ribosomal RNA", at positions 30 to 526 of the family's 1533-position model. The record is from RNAcentral.
AUUGAACGCUGGCGGCAGGCCUAACACAUGCAAGUCGAGCGGAGCGGCGGACGGGUGGGUAAUGCCUAGUAAUCUACCUGUUAGUGGGGGGUAAAGUCCGGCAACAGGCGCUAAUACAGCAUACUAUCAGAUGAGCCUAGCUAGGAUUAGCUAGCUGGUGGGGUAAAGACCUACCAAGGCGACGAUCCGUAACUGGUCUGAGAGGAUGCACGGUCACACUGGAACUGAGCCACGGUCCAGACACCAAAGGGAGGCAGCAGUGGGGAAUAUUGGACAAUGGGGGAAAGCCUGAGCCAGCCAUGCCGCGGGUGGGAAGAAGGUUUUCGGUUUGUAAAGCACUUUAAGUUGGGAGGCGUUACCAACAGAAGAAGCACCGGCUAACUUCGUGCCAGCAGCCGCGGUAAUAC